Vigna unguiculata (cowpea) is the source of this 503-nucleotide long non-coding RNA. RefSeq lists it as uncharacterized. The record is from RefSeq and is a predicted model, not a curated record. Lineage: Eukaryota; Viridiplantae; Streptophyta; Magnoliopsida; Fabales; Fabaceae.
AAAGAUUAGUGGGCUGCUCUUGUAAGUGGGCUUAAGGUCGGCCCAACGCAUAAAAGUCCUUAGGUCUGUCCUAAUUCCUCACUCAACCUCACUCUUGCAGAAAUCCAGCCGCCCUCACUCUCCAUACCCCUCACAGAACGCUCUGCUAGGGUUUGCCCUAAGGUGCACUUCGAGCUAGCUCAAACUCGGUUCCUACUCACUUUAGCAGCUGACCGCCCUAGGGGCAGUUCUACCUUCUUUGUACGGGUCAGAGCGUUUGCUAGCUUGAUUUCCAGAUGGGCGAGGUUCUCGUGGUCAGCAAGGGACUGGCGAUUCAGUAGCUUAGCCAUCCGGGCCGGAGUCAUUUUAUUCAUGAUUUCUUUAGGGCUACGACCCCUGUAUCUUCUUAUGAUUCCUUACUCUACACUCUUUGUUAGAAUUGUAUCGGUUUUAUGUUGACAUCUUGGUGUGCCAGGGUGUAGGGGUUGCGUUAAGGACCCCAAGACUACGCUGUUAUACUUUAU